RNAcentral lists this ribosomal RNA (461 nucleotides) under unidentified nematode Sourhope farm. RNAcentral describes it as "bacterial SSU rRNA". It matches the Rfam family "Eukaryotic small subunit ribosomal RNA", at positions 77 to 529 of the family's 1831-position model. The record is from RNAcentral. Lineage: Eukaryota; Metazoa; Nematoda.
AAACACGAAACCGCGUAUGGCUCAUUAUAACAGCUAAAAUUUACUUGAUUUUGAUAUAAAUCCUACAUGGAUAACUGUGGUAAUUCUGGAGCUAAUACAUGCAUAAAAGGUAUCUUUUUUAUAUGAGAUAUUGCGUAUAUUAGUAUUAAAACCAAGCAUUUUUCGGAAUGUUUUGUGUUGAACCUGAAUAUAUCUGCUAAUCGUAUGGGCUUGUACCGACGAUAUAUCAUUCAAGUGUCUGAUCUAUCAACUUUCUAUAUAAGUAUAUAGUACUUAUAUGGGUUUGACGGAUAACGGAGUAUUAGGGUACGACUCCGGAGAAAAUGCCUGAGAAACGGCGUUUACAUCCAAGGAAGGCAGCAGGCGCGAAAAUUACCCACUCUCAGUUCGAGGAGGUAGUGACGAGAAAUGACACGAUCUAUUCCUUCGGGGAUGGAUCAUUGGAAUGGGUUGAUUCUAAA